Molecule: non-coding RNA, 1905 nt
Organism: Misgurnus anguillicaudatus (oriental weatherfish)
Lineage: Eukaryota; Metazoa; Chordata; Actinopteri; Cypriniformes; Cobitidae
Source: RefSeq, a predicted model, not a curated record
UUUCAAAAUUCUGUGCUGGUGGUUCAGUGUUUAUACAUUUUAUAUUUUCUGGAGUGAAGCCGAUCACACACAAAAUGGUAAGCAUACUAUAAGUAGAUUAAACUGUCUUUUCAGAGGUGCAGCUCCUGCAAAGAGUAGACAAAGCAGAGAAAAUAUUGAUUCUUGCUCAGGAAGAUAUCUCAUGUCAUCAGAGAGGCACCAGUGUUGAUUUCUGAAGGAGACAUGGAGAGAUGGAAAAAAGCUAGCCCAACAGAAACCAAUAAGUAAGGAACUGAAGUUAAAGUCUUAAAUACUACACUGUCUGUAGAUGGAAAAGGGACUACAUCAUCAGACUGAUUCAGUUCUACAAGUUCAAAAUUGAGGACUCUGCUGAACAUUGAGGAAAAAAUACCGUAUCGGGAGAAGAUGGCAAGAGUCUGAUUCAAACUUCCAGUCUACCCUUAAAGAUGUGGACCGUGAGCUCAGAGUCCAAAUGCAAGGCUAGAACUGAAUCAAGGGAGAGAGCAGUCCUCCUCCACCUGAGAAGAAUAUAUCCAGCUUUGCUUCAGAUGGGCAGGGCAUUGCCAUUAGACUCUCCAAGCAGGUAGCCAAUUGAUUUUCAGGAAUCAUGUGAUCCCUCUUGGCAUGUCUACUUCUGCUUUAAUGACACUAUUGAAGAAGAUGAUGUUUCGAGGAGUCUAAAAAGGCGAGGGAUUGAUGCCUUACAUAUGAAGACUCGGGCAGCUGAGAAAAAGUGCGUGCUUUACCAGGAAAUGAGAAGUCUAAGGGGCCAGUCACACCAAAAGCGUUUAUGGCAGUUGCAGGCGCCUUUUUUGAAUGAUAUUCUAUGGGCAGGGCGCGUUUGCGCGCUGUUUAUGUGCGCCGAGCGCCUUGCGGUUUUUUGCCGCCUGCCGCGCACACAUUUUUGAACGAGCGCUGAGAGCAUAGAAGCGCCCGACGUCAUUCGCGUCUUUCCAUUGUCCAAUCGAAUGAGGGGAGAGGCGGGCCUUACGUUGUGGUGAGUGAAGUUUACAGUUGCUUUGAAGAACCGGAAUCCACUCGCUCACUCUCUCCUGCGUGUUUGUGCACCUCUCAAACCCUCAAACAAGGUCAGAGCAAGCGCCCUCUUUUUAAAGUUUCUGCUAAUAUGACAGUUAACAGCAAAAGAGCGCUCACGCUUCAAUAUUUGAUUGACAAGACAGCUGACUCAGUGGUUGCUUAGCAAUAUGAAAAGCCGCGUCGCACUGCUCUUUUUUGCAAGCGUUUAAAGCGCUUUUGGUGUGACUGGCCCCUAACUGAACACCCCAUCAGCAGCAGGCCUCUAACAUUUGUGCUCUAACAUCAAAGACACUGAGCAGCCUGGUGCAAAAGCUGCUCUCAUUCAACACCUCCAACAGCUGGAAAGAAAACUACAUCAAGCCAUUGUGAUGUUUCACCCACAUCUAUCGGACAUUGCUCCUGCAGACAACCCCCACUUGUGUCAGGCCCUCCCCAUGCCAAGCAUACAGACACUGGUAUACAAUGAUAAGAGUGAUAAUGAUGAAAAUGUGGAUAAAUAUGAUAACUAGCACUACAGAUUUUUUGUUAAUUUUUAGUCUGAUAUUGUAUUCUGUAAAAAGAAAGAUGUAAAAUGUAUAGUAUAUGUUGCAGCAUAUCAUAGAAACCUUUAUGGUGGUGUAAUAUAAUGUUCGCCUUACUUGUGCAAACAUGAUGUUUUACUAGAUCUGAUUUAUUAUUAAACGUAGGUACUGUUUUUAAGCACACAUAUUCACACUAGUCUGUGUGAGGACAAAAUUGUGUGUUUACCAUUGUGAUGUUACUUAUUUACUGUAAUGUACAAAUGUGGUCAAUGUGUGUAAGGUGUUUUGUUUUUGAAUCCUUUUAAACAAAUACUGUAAAAGUUUGUAAAAAAUAAAAAGUUUUCCA